Molecule: long non-coding RNA, 5255 nt
Filed under: Zea mays
Lineage: Eukaryota; Viridiplantae; Streptophyta; Magnoliopsida; Poales; Poaceae
Description: long non-coding RNA (ZMAY_LNC005415)
Source: RNAcentral
GCCCGCCGCGCUGUGAUUUCGGAAGGAGGAUCAGAGCGCCGCCGUGAUCCACUCCUCGUCUGUGCCUCGGUGGGCGGAGUAUUGUGCCUGUGGCACCGGGGCUCGUCACCGGUCUGCGCCUGAGACCUCGAUCGUGGUCGUGGAGCUGGGUGCCUGCCGCGGGAUAUCCGAGCGGGAUUGGCUGAGUCGGCGUCAACCUCGGUGAGUGUCUUCUCUCGUUGCAGUAGUGUCUGGCUACCAAUACCGAUCGGUGGAGGCGGAGUAGAGUGCGAUUGCAAGGUCUAGGCACCACCGGCGGUGGUUGUGGUGUUUCACGCCGGGAUUGGGGGCACGCACCAGUAGGGUGCGCGCGGUCGGCUUCGUGGCGGGCUGUCGAGAUGAAGAAGACGACACAUCGUCCGUAGAUCGGGGAACCGACAGCUAGGAUUGGGCACGCGGAUCGUUUGGGCGAGAUUAAAUCCGAGCCGUGGAUGACGGAUCGGAGCGUCAGCGCUGCGUACCGCUUCAUCACCUGGGCGAUCUAAUCUGGCGCGUCCAGAGUAAAUCGAACGGCGGAGAUCACAUGUUGACGCUUCGCCGAGGUGAAAUUGUAAAUGAGCCCCUGGACCUCAUAAAAAUUAACCCGCAGUCCAUCACAUGUUUAAUCUGAGUCUUGGAAAUUUUAUGAGUUAGCCCUUGUACUCUUUCGUAUUCAUGUGUGCAAUCCAGAGAGAUGUUAAAUGGAAUAGAAAAUAUAGAAAAUUAGUUUUGUAUUAAAAUAAUUAUAGAAACUUGUUUAAAUCAUAUAAAAUUCAUUUUAAUUCCUUUUUGAUCCAUUCUAGUUGCAUUAAUUUUGUUUUAAUAUUAAUUAUCACCUAGUAACUCUGUUUAUUCAUAAAACAUAGACUAAAACUAUUCAUUUAGCUUAAUCUAUAUCAACCACUUAAUAACUUCAGAAAAUCAUAACUCGGUAACUGUAACUCCAAAUUUAGUGAUUCUCGUUCCUACGAUCCUGUACUAUGUUUGUUUGUAUUGCGAGUAGACGAGCAAGCCACUGAGUGAACAUCCAAAGCUUUACAUACAACGACUACAUUUUGGAAAUUUGUAGCCUUCUACUACAUUUUGGAAGUUUGUAGCCUUCUGACAGCUUUAUCAUACUUGUGAACAAGAGCCCAAGCAGGCAAGCACACCAUAAUGAGUGAGAUGAACCAUAUUGUCCAAUGGGUAGGCGGGUUAUGGGGAGGUGUGUAGAAUGGAUAUUUCAGAAAUGGGUUUGGGCAUGGGUAAGACCUGGUGUGUUCAUACCCUCACCAUAGGCAGGUCUAGAAGUCUUUAUAUGACCAAUUCAUGCUUUGUGCUAUGUUGUUCAUAAUCAACAUACGGGUAACGACUAACGAAUUAUGUAGUCUAUUAUCAGCCAGGGGCUGAUUUUGUGUAAGCUACUGGGAAAUGCCUUGGAUGAGCUAUGCAAUAGCAAUCACAGUGUAUUCAUGCGCAGGGCAUAAACUACCAAUACCACAAAGCAUUGCCAACAUAGAUAAAGAUCGCAUAAUUGUAAGAGAAAUUUGGAUCUGUACCAUUAAAAGAUUACAACUUUAGAUAUAUAUCAUUGCUAUCUCACUUACAUGUGGGUCCACAUGAGUCAAUGACAUGUGAAGCCAAUGGCAUAUAUCUAAAGUUGCAAUUUUUUAAUGGUAUAGAUCCAAUUAUUCCUAAUUGUGAAUGAACAUAAUAGUACUACUGGGAAAUGUUAUGGAUUCCUGAAUAACACAGGGGCAUGCUCGCCCCAUAGAAGUACAAUGUAUUAUAUGUGGGUUAACAAUGUUCAAAAGAAAAGGCUGAAUAACCUUGAGUUCUUUGAUCUUUUCUUCAAGGCUACCAUUAGUUUCCUUCAGCUGCUGUGCUUCUGAAUGAAGCUGAAUAACCAUGCGAGUAGCAUCACUUAGGAUAGCAGCUUUGUCAACUUUUACUGGCUUCCCUGGUUCUAAUGUAGACCCCAAUUCAAGGAACCUAUAAACCGUAAGAAGGAAAUGAAAAGGUAUGUCAAUGACACAUUAAUUCAUUUUUUGAUACUUCAGUGUCAGCAAAAUUAUGUCUACGGUUUACCUAUCAUUCAGCUUGUUCCUCCUCAUUUUUUCCCUAGAAGCUUUAGAUGUUGGCACAUGCACAUCAUUGGAUCCUGACCUCAAAUUGCAAGUUGCAAUAGAGUUACAAUUGUAUGGAUGAUGUCAUCAUACAUCAAGACAAUAUGAAUACUUUUCUUAAGCCAUAGGGCGAAAUAAUAGACACACCGCUUAUUGCUGCCAGGCUCCUUGAAGACAUCAUUGGUGUUCACAUAGCUGCCCACUUCCACGCUGCAAAAUAAAGGGGAAUAUCAAUUAGCAGUUCUAGCUGUAAAUGAACUUUCUUUUUCCUAUUUGCUACUACCUAAGUUCAACCAAAUAACAUGUAAGGCAUUGAGCUCUACCCAUAUGGGGUAGACUGCAUUCAGUAAUAAAAAAGGCAUCGAAUAACAGAAUCACUGCAAAUUACUCUGAAAUUAGUACCAUAGCAAGAUCAGUGCAUACAUGACAGAUGGGAACUUAUAUCUUUGGCUCUACAGUCCAGCUUUACGAUGCCAUCCAUGACCUAGCAGCACAUCCCAUUGCUCGCAACACAUACUUAACGUCAGGACUGGUGACACAGUCCUCCAUCAAUUGAGUCGCCGACAUAAAAUGGUUCACGCUACAGCAGACCAUCUCAAUUGUUUGGGCAAAUCAUUGGUCACCAUCACACACAAUCCAUCCAUUCCACCGUCAUAAACACAGCCUCUGCAACAUGAGAACAAAUCAACGAAAUACCGAAAACAAUUCAUCCGCUCACGUCACAGUUCCAUGAUACUCAUCGCAUAGACACAGAACGCCGCCGUCACGGAACCGAUCGCCAGGAACCUAUGCUAAACGAAAGCAUCCGCAUUUCCUGGAACUCGAAGGGGGGAGUGGAGGGGAGGGCGGAGGGAUCGAUCGAUCGGUCAUCUGCGCUGACCUGGGGUUGGAAGAAGACGAGGAUGCGUCCCAUGAGAAGGCCCCGCAGGCCACGGCCGGGAGGUCGUCGAGGAUGCCGCAGUCGAGGAACCAGUCAUCGCCAGUGCCGGCGCCACCAUCCACUCCGUCCGGGGGAAGAGACAUCGCUACCGCCGCCGCCGAAGAGAGACCCUGGGAGGGCUAGAGUAAAAGUUCGUGGGGUCUUUUCAGUGGUUCGCAUAGCAGACCCAAUUCCCAAGAUUAGGAAGGUGGGUCAUGCUGUGGACGACAUGUGGGCCCAAUUUCUUUCGUGUUAAUGCAUGGUUGGUGGACGGCGAUUUGUCUUUCGGCAGGUGUGCGUCGCUGGAGAGAGCACAUGCAUCGGACGGGGGAGAGACUCCAUGGUGCAUCAGACGGUUAAGAUUGAUGGAAGGCAGAACGACAGGCUACCCUUGCUGCCUUAAUAAGUAGUAUAGAAUACUAGUCCUAAAGGAACACCUACCUAGGAAAUCUUAGUGAUCGAUUUGUACCGUGAAGGAAAGUUGUAUUCAAGACGCAACUUACUAUAUUUCUAUUGUAUAAUUGCAUAUUCAUGACAUAGCAUAAGCAUUCAUAUAUGUAUAUUAUCAUGUAUAGAACACGAGGAAGAAUCCGUAGUAGAGGAAGAAGUUGUCUCCCAGAGUGAGAAUCCUCUACUGGAGAACAACUUUUAUUUCGAUAUCUGCGGUAUGGUAACAGAAACUCCUACAACACAAGGCAAGCUCCAGUGCAUUAUCCCUUUUCUUUAUCACCUUAUAUGAUGCAUUAGGUGAUAGGAAUUGUGUGACAAACAGUUGAUGCAUUUCCUUCCUUGGAAAAUUUGGUUACCAAGCCUUGUUACCUAUUUUAUUUAAACAAGUUUUCUAAUGCUUAGUCUUGCUAUAGAAAACAAAAUGUUUUGUUUUGAAAAGGUGAUGCUUCACACUAGAUGGGAAUUUUUACAACGAAAAGACUUAUGAUGGUGAAUCCAUCAUGGACGUGAUGGGUUCAACAUCUGAAAGGAGUACCUAUGUCAGGUACCAAACUUUGGGGUUUAAGUAAUAAAGACAAGACCGGGCGGGUGACUUGCACGAGAAGGAAGUCUCGGUGUAGUGUCUCCAUCUAAGUCGUUUAAGGACCGAGUCGAUGUAGGCCUGCUGAUCGAUGACCUUUUAACUGGCCACAUGCCUCGUCAUGGGUAAGCUUUGCCUUGGUCGGACCAAUACCAGAAAGGCCACCAUGCAAUGGGAGUGGAGAGAUGGCGAGAGUAGCGUGUACCCACCGUGGCAAGAGGCUAGACGGUGGAGUAUCUGUGCUCUCGGUUGGCGUGAACCCAUUCUAGUCUUAAGAGACCUGGGUGCAAGUUGACAUAUACAAGGGUUAAGUGCUACAUUCAGCCGUGCAUGCUCGCCUGCCCCCCCCGCGCUCGAUCCCUGAUCUAAUCUCAUUCGUCCAUCUGCGAUCUAGCGGUUGGAAAAGCCCGAUACACCUUCGCGCGGCAGUUUUGUUUAAAAGACCCUCAGUUCUCGGGUAAUAGAACCCGUCAUCCCUGAAUUUUGCGCGCAGGUCCCUGACUUCUUUUAAAUAGACCCCUGACCAUUUAAAUAAUCACAUAAUUGGGCUUAGUUUUAUAUUUCAAACUUCAAAACUUGUUUAUUUCAUAUCUUUUCAUAUGAACUCCAAAUUUACUAGUUCAAAUUGCAAAAUGUCCAUAGAAAUAUUCUCUGUCCAAAUAAAUUAUGAUUAUCCACAGCAUGUGCACUUUAAUCUUAUGCCUAGACUAAAGGUUAAGUUUAAGUAAUAAUGUAUUUGUUUAGUAAAAUAGAUAAAAAGGAAAAUGCUAAUGGUACUUAGAUGUUUAAUGUUGUGAGAUUAAUAAAAUGUUUUGUAUGAAUUGAUCCCUAGUAUAAUUUUGUGUCUCACUAAAAUUAGUAGAACUAAACUAAAUAGUCCAUAAUAUCUAGGGAAUCACUGAUCUCUAAUUAUAUUAAUCCCUAGCAUUUAAGUCUACCCUUUAUGUUCAUAGUGUCUUAUCAAACUUGUGUUCACUUGAUUUUACAUGUUUGGUGUGCUGUUCAUUUGUACUUUUCCAAAUGUAUUGAAUGUAUGAUCGCUUUAUUUAGACAACGAGCAGCCCGUGGUUCCUGAGUGUGUUGCCGAAGAUCUUCCUCAGCAACAACCUGGUGAAGGCAAGUGUCCUCUGACCUAUUAUGUCCUACAUAGUUUAUAAUUCACCGUCCCGCAUUACAUUAUUGA